CAUGCAAAGUGGUGCACCUCCAACUGGCUAGUUAUAACUCAUCUCCAUGGCUUUUUAUUUGCAGAUGGUUUGUGAAUGAACAGGUCAAUCCACACACAACUCAACCAACUGCAUUUCUUGGAUGCUGCUGUGAGGUGUGCUGCAGACUGUGGCAGAAGAAACACAGAAUAACUAAGCCUGACCUCAGCUUUGGAAUAAUUGGAAAUCAUCCUUUCACUCUUGAACUGCGAUAAACAGUCAAAUAUCUCCUGCUACGAGAGAUACCAAAACGUAUUUUGGGGUGAGCAAGGAGACGGGGAUAUACGAUUAACACCACCUUACACAUCCAUUCCCGCUCAAGGAUCCAACGGUUCUCAGUUGGGUAUUGUCUUGGCUUUGCUGAAGUGUUUCCGAACUGCAAGCAUUGGAAAACACUGCUCUCUUGUGGUUGAAGCGAGAAAAUAACAGAUGGAAAAGACAAAAGGGUUUUUCUGUUUUUUCUCUUCAAUGCUAGAUUUACUACUAUCAACUUAAAUGCAGUACAAAAUGUAGUGUUACUUGUUUGAGAAUAUUCUCAAUAUAUUUUGGAAUUCCUAAUAUUUAAAUUUAAUAUUUUUUUCUUUGUUACCACGGAC
RNAcentral lists this long non-coding RNA (614 nucleotides) under Coturnix japonica (Japanese quail). Its description in RNAcentral is "lncRNA (ENSCJPG00005018395.1)". Lineage: Eukaryota; Metazoa; Chordata; Aves; Galliformes; Phasianidae. The record is from RNAcentral.